GGUCCUGUGGCUAAACUGGAUAGAGCAGCCCGCUCCGAAUGGGCAGGUUGCAGGUUCGAAUUCUGCCGGACCG
RNAcentral lists this transfer RNA (73 nucleotides) under Shimia isoporae. RNAcentral describes it as "tRNA-Arg". It matches the Rfam family "tRNA". Rfam says of the family: Transfer RNA (tRNA) molecules are approximately 80 nucleotides in length. Their secondary structure includes four short double-helical elements and three loops (D, anti-codon, and T loops). Further hydrogen bonds mediate the characteristic L-shaped molecular structure. tRNAs have two regions of fundamental functional importance: the anti-codon, which is responsible for specific mRNA codon recognition, and the 3' end, to which the tRNAs corresponding amino acid is attached (by aminoacyl-tRNA synthetases). tRNAs cope with the degeneracy of the genetic code in two manners: having more than one tRNA (with a specific anti-codon) for a particular amino acid; and 'wobble' base-pairing, i.e. permitting non-standard base-pairing at the 3rd anti-codon position. Lineage: Bacteria; Pseudomonadati; Pseudomonadota; Alphaproteobacteria; Rhodobacterales; Roseobacteraceae. The record is from RNAcentral.